UGGGGAAUAUUGCACAAUGGGCGAAAGCCUGAUGCAGCAACGCCGCGUGAGUGAUGAAGGCCUUCGGGUUGUAAAGCUCUGUCUUCUGGGACGAUAAUGACGGUACCAGAGGAGGAAGCCACGGCUAACUACGUGCCAGCAGCCGCGGUAAUACGUAGGUGGCAAGCGUUGUCCGGAUUUACUGGGCGUAAAGGAUGCGUAGGCGGAUACUUAAGUCAGAUGUGAAAAUCCCGGGCUUAACUUGGGAACUGCAUUUGAAACUGGGUUUCUAGAGUGCGGGAGAGGAAAGUGGAAUUCCUAGUGUAGCGGUGAAAUGCGUAGAGAUUAGGAAGAACACCAGUGGCGAAGGCGACUUUCUGGACCGUAACUGACGCUGAGGCAUGAAAGCGUGGGGAGCAAACA
Molecule: ribosomal RNA, 402 nt
Filed under: uncultured bacterium
Lineage: Bacteria
Description: bacterial SSU rRNA
Rfam family: Bacterial small subunit ribosomal RNA
Source: RNAcentral